GAUUAAUGGAUAGCGCCAGCCCUUCACAUGAGAAGGGGACGAGGAGCGGGUUUAUCGAAUUUUCGGCGGAUGACCCGGGGCCGUGCAGUCCACAAGAGAGAGCAUAAAACUGGGGAUGCAAAUCCCAGGACAGAGGCUCUGUCUAAGCACCUA
Abiotrophia defectiva ATCC 49176 is the source of this 153-nucleotide regulatory RNA element. It matches the Rfam family "glmS glucosamine-6-phosphate activated ribozyme aptamer". From Rfam's summary of the family: This entry contains a glucosamine-6-phosphate activated ribozyme that is found in the mRNA for GlmS. Lineage: Bacteria; Bacillati; Bacillota; Bacilli; Lactobacillales; Aerococcaceae. The record is from Rfam.